GACAUGGGGUAGCUGCUUCUUCAGAGAGGAGCUUUGGCUACACCCACUGAUUGCAUUCAAUGCUGAAGCCUCGUCCUGUCUCCCAGCUGGUUGCUCAGCGGGUAGCGCCGCAGUUCGCCUCGCCCACGCUGCUGCCCAAGAAGGACAAGAAGGACAGAACGGACCAGGAGAAGAAUGACAAAGAGCCCACAGUGAAGAAGAACAGCCACAAGAAGAUGAGGUAAACAUUCACAGAUAAACAACUGUUUAUCAUGAACCUGUUGCAUUUAACCUGUAGUAGUAGUAUGAUAGUGUGAGUAGUAGUAUGAUAGUGUGAUUAGUAGUAUGAUAGUGUGUAUAGUAGUAUGAUAGUGUGAGUAGUAGUAUGAUAGUGUGAGUAGUAGUAUGAUAGUGUGAGUAGUAGUAUGAUAGUGUGAGUAGUAGUAUGAUGGUGUGAUUAGUAGUAUGAUAGUGUGAGUAGUAGUAUGAUAGUGUGAUUAGUAGUAUGAUAGUGUGAGUAGUAGUAUGAUAGUGUGAGUAGUAGUAUGAUAGUGUGAGUAGUAGUAUGAUAGUGUGAGUAGUAGUAUGAUAGUGUGAGUAGUAGUAUGAUAGUGUGAGUAGUAGUAUGAUAGUGUGAAUAGUAGUAGUAUGAUAGUGUGAUUAGUAGUAUGAUGGUGUGAUUAGUACUAUGAUAGUGUGAGUAGUAGUAGUAGUAUGAUGGU
This 701-nucleotide long non-coding RNA is filed under the name Salmo salar (Atlantic salmon). RNAcentral describes it as "lncRNA (ENSSSAG00000104592.1)". The record is from RNAcentral. Lineage: Eukaryota; Metazoa; Chordata; Actinopteri; Salmoniformes; Salmonidae.